CCUUCUUUUACCAUUCACUUCUUCUUCUCCUUGUUGUUGCUUACAAACUUUACUUCCUACACAUUCUCAUUAUGCAACCAUCAUGACAGCUCUGCCUUGUUACAAUUCAAGAACUCAUUUUUUGUCAACACUACACCUUCCGAUACUUUUUUGUGGAGGCGGUGUUCCUCUUUUUCUUUCAAAACAGAANNNNNNNNNNNNNNNNNNNNNNNNNNNUGACACCGUGUCAGAUUAUGUGAUUGGUCUGGACCUUAGUUGCAACAAUCUGAAAGGUGAAUUACAUCCCAAUAGCACUAUCUUCCAGCUUAAACAUCUUCAACAACUCAACUUGGCUUUUAAUCAUUUUUUCCCUUCUUCAUUGCAUGCUGGUAUUGGGGAUUUAGUGAAUCUCACACAUCUAAAUGUGUCAUACUGUUACCUCAGUGGUAAUAUUCCCUCCACAAUCUCUCAUUUGUCAAAAUUAAUAUCACUUGAUCUUAGCAUUAACUGGAUGGAGUACCGCAGGGGAUUGAAACUCAAUCCAUUGACAUGGAAGAAACUCAUUCAUAAUGCUACUAAUUUAAGGGAGCUUUAUCUUGAUAUUGUGGAUAUGUCUGCAAUCAAUAAAAGGUCUUUAUCUAUGCUAAAGAAUUUGUCAUCCUCUUUGGUUUCUCUUAGUCUAAGUGAAACUGAAUUGCAAGGAAAUUUGUCAAGUGACAUCCUCUCUUUACCCAACCUUCAAAAACUAGAUUUGUCAUAUAAUGAACUUAGUGGUCAACUUCCAAAGUCCAACUGGAGCAUGCCUCUAAGGUACUUGGACCUCUCUUCCACUUCUUUCUCAAGUGAAAUUCCUUAUUCCAUAGCUCAAUUGAAGUCUCUUACUCAUUUAUCCCUUCAAGAAUGCAAUUUCGAUGGGACGAUUCCUCUAUCUUUGUGGAACCUCACCCAACUAACACAUUUGGACCUUUCCAGUAACAACCUAACAGGCGAGGUUCCAUCAUCAUUUUUUCAUCUAUCUCAGCUUUCUUAUUUAGGUUUAUCAUUUAAUAAACUAGUUGGUCCAAUUCCAAAUGAAAUCACAAAACAUUCAANNNNNNNNNNNNNNNNNNNNNNNNNNNNNNNNNNNNNNNNNNNNNNNNNNNNNNNNNNNNNNNNNAACAACCACCUCACAGGGUUUAUUGGUGAGUUCACAACUUAUUCUCUGCAAUAUUUGUAUCUCUCUAAUAACAACCUACAUGGUCAUUUUCCAAAUUCAAUGAUUUGGAAAUGAUUCUUUUGAAGGAAAUACAAUGUUAUGUGGAUUCCAAGUGUCUAAAUCUUGCAAAAAGGAUGAAGAUCGGCCAUCACAUUCAACAUCUGAAGAUGAAGAGGAAUCAGGAUUUGGUUGGAAAGCAGUAGCAAUAGGAUAUGCGUGUGGGGCAAUAUUUGGGUUGCUCUUAGGACAUAAUGUAUUCUUCUUUGGAAAACCUGAAUGGCUUGCAAGACUUGUUGAACAUAUGUUUAAUAUGAGACUGAAGAGAAGAAACAACCGAUCCAGUGCAAAUAGCAGAAGAAUGAAUUAAUUUGAUGUUGGUCUUUUAAAAAAUAUAGAUACGUUUGUUUGUAAUUUCAACUUUUCUGUUUGAGUAAUGUAUUAUUUGUUUUAAAAUUAAUAUGUUGCGUUUAUUUCAAGUUGCUAUAUAAAUAAGAAAACUAGUGAUCAUUUGGUUUCAUGUUAUUUUCGUGAUUUUAUUAUGUAUAUACUUUCCGAAAUGUGCUCUGACUUUAUAUUGCUGUUAUUCAUUUGAUGUUUUUAAAUUCUGUAAUGGAUAGGAUAGGUGUUGGUGCGUGACAUGAAUGCCUUUAUCUUUUGAAGAAUGUAUGAAGUUAUUGUAUUUGAAACCAUAUCCUGAAUUUGUCAAUAAGUGUAUUGAACAUAAUAAAAGUGUUUAUCUCAUCAAGUAAGGUAUGCUAAAAUGCUCCCUUAGACAAUGCUUCAUAUAGUAUCCAACUAGCUACCAUGUUUUUAUUUUCCUUCCCUUUGUAUUUCUGCUUCAACCUUUCAAUGAAGUAUCACUCUAUAAAUUGAGAUUCAUUGUAUAGGUAAUGUGUCACUAUGAAGUACCGGCACAAACACAAACCAGGACACCAAACACGAAACCGAUACUACCGACACACAGGUACCUUUAANNNNNNNNNNNNNNNNNNNNNNNNNNNNNNNNAAAGGAAUCAUCAACACAAGCUGAAGCAACUUUUGAUAAUCUAACAGUAGCUUUCAUAUCAAAAGGAAUCAUCAACCUAGGAUUGAAAACUUCACUAAAUCUCACUACACAAACAGUCCUACCUCAUAUCCUGUUGACAUAAAAGUUCCAACAAAAUCACCCACCAACCCAUAAACACCACUUUCCUUAGAACCACCACCAGUCCACCCCUUCCUUCAUUCCAAAAUUCAGUAUCCAUGUAACCAACUAACCCUCUCUUUUCUACUGACCCUCCAUAAUCAGAAAUCCUAGCACAUAAAUUAGAGGACUUAACAUAACCAUGUACAAUAUUUGAUGAGUCUAAAUGAAGUAGAUGUGUUAAUUAGUAACUAAUACGAGAGCUUACAUCAUAAGCUCUUAUGCUUAAUAAGCUAUUUACGUUUGGAUAUGUUCGUUAAAAAGUACUUACAUAAAUUGAAGUGUUUGGAUGUCUCAUCACAUAAGCAAUUGUAAAUUUAAGAUUAACUUUGCAUAAAAAUAAAUUUAAUAUUGAUUCGAAAAGAUAAUUAAAAAAAAAAGGAUACUGUUAAAAAGAUAAGCGUAAAAAGAAAAGAAAAAACCGUAAAAAAGAUACCUUUAAGAUUCAUUCAAAAAAUAAAUUCUAAAAAAUAUGUUAAUAUUGUGCCAAAUGGAGCAUGCGGGAUUCAAAGCGGGAUCCUUUUUCAUAAGCUCCAUGUUAAGCAUAUUCAUAUUAAAAUAUGGCAUAAGUAGCUUGUGAAAUUGUGAUAAGCACUUUUGUUAAUAUAACGACUUAUAUCGGUAGAUAAGCUCACAUAAGCUUAAAACAAGUCGAUCCAAAUGGUGCCCAUGUACAAUUGAAGAAGUCCAACUUGAUCAAUAUACUAAAUAAGGUCAGUAUCGAAUUUCCUAAUUUCCUCUCUGUAAAUUUCCUACUAAGUAAGGUCCAACUUGAUCAUUACGUAGAAUUGAAGAAGUCCAAGUCUCUACUUUUGGACACAAUAUGUUGUCAUAAACACAUUCAAAUAAAGUUAGAACAUUCAAAAUUUCAACUUGAGUAUUACAUACACCGUUGAAAAAUCUUAGUCUUACUUAUCUUAAAAAUACACCAAUUGGUAAAACAUUUCUAUGGAUGCUAAUGGAUUAAUGUUAUUGUCAAUUGGUAAAACAUUUCUUUGGCCAUUCCUAAGGAAGAAUGUUAGUAAGCACACAAAUAGUUGAAUUAGGGUUAAGACGUCUUAUGUGAGGUGAGUUCGAUUUUAGACGACCAGGGAAUGAGUUCAACGAAUAUUAGUUGAACUAAAAUAGUCGAAUUAGAGUUAAUUCGUCUUAAGUGGUGCGAGUUCGAUUUUAGACGAGCAAGGAAUGAGUUUGAUGAAUAUUUUUGGAACUAAAAUAGUCAAAUUAGAGUUAAUUCAUCUUAAGUGACACGAGUUAUAUAGUUUAGAUGAGCAAGGAGUGGGUUAGAGGAAUAUUAGUUAAACUAAAAUAGUCUAAUUAGAGUUAAUUCAUCUUAAGUGGCACGAGUUCUAGUUUAGAUGAGGAAGGAAUGAGUUCGACAAAUUUUAGUUGAACUAAAAUAGUCGAAUUAUAGUUAAUUCGUCUUAAGUGGCGCAAGUUAUAUAGUUUAGAUGAGCAAAAAAUGAGUUAGAGGAAUAUUAGUUAAACUAAAAUAGUCGAAUUAGAAUUAAUUCGUCUUAAGUGGCGCGGAUUCUAGUUUAGAUGAGUAAGGAAUUCGUCUUAAAAUAAAAAUAUUUCUUAAUCAAAAUGUUAAUUUUUUUAAUAAAGUAGCUUAAUCAUUUUUUAAUAAAUAAAGUGGAUGUGUAUAUUAAAUAUUUUUUGAAGUAAUUUUUCUAAACAAGAAUUUAUAAUAUAGCAACAAGAGUUUUCUUAAGGCACAUAUUAAGGAUAUCAAUAAGUUAUUCUGAGUUUAACUCAAUUGAUAGAAAAUUUUUAUUAUAUAUGUAGAAGUCGUUCGGAUUUUAUACUCUUUACUUAUUUAUUUUAAGAGUGAAAUUUUUAACCACUAAACUACUUAAAAGAAAUAAAUAUUAAAAUUUAGAUCCAAGUAAUUGCUAACCUUUAAGGUACCCCAAGUUUUAUUUUUUAAAAAAAAUAUGAAAGCCGUACUCUUUUGAUUUAUAUACGAUCCAAGUAAUUUAGAACAUUCAAAAACAUUUCAAAUUGAGUAUUAUAUACGGUUCAAAAAUCUUGGUCUUACUUAUCUUAAAAAUACACCAUACAUUUCUACUGAUGCUAAUGAAUUAAUGUUAUUGUCAAUUAUCCUAUCACUAUAAGUAUAAUUGCAACCACAAAAACUGCUUCUAUUGGAGUGCUCCAUACGGUCGAUGAAAAGCAUCCCUUGCUACAAAACAAAAGCACGCCGAGACUCAAUUAUAUAUUAUAUAAAUAAAUUGAGGGUAAUCAAUUGGUAUAUCCAAAAUCAUCAUCAGGUAAAAAAGAAAUAAUAUCAAGUUGCUCUAAAUGGCCUCCUUUUUUAUUCUAUNNNNNNNNNNNNNNNNNNNNNNNNNNNNNNNNNNNNNNNNNNNNNNNNNNNNACUUUACUUCCUACACAUUCUCAUUAUGCAACCAUCAUGACAGCUCUGCCUUGUUACAAUUCAAGAACUCAUUUUUUGUCAACACUACACCUUCCGAUACUUUUUGGUUCUAUGAGUGUUCCUCUUUUUCUUUCAAAACAGAAACUUGGAAAAACAAUACAGAUUGUUGUGAGUGGGAUGGUGUCACGUGUGACACCGUGUCAGAUUAUGUUGUUGGUCUGGACCUUAGUUGCAAC
This 4971-nucleotide long non-coding RNA is filed under the name Trifolium pratense (red clover). RNAcentral describes it as "long non-coding RNA (TPRA_LNC002426)". The record is from RNAcentral. Lineage: Eukaryota; Viridiplantae; Streptophyta; Magnoliopsida; Fabales; Fabaceae.